RNAcentral lists this long non-coding RNA (1765 nucleotides) under Olea europaea subsp. europaea. Lineage: Eukaryota; Viridiplantae; Streptophyta; Magnoliopsida; Lamiales; Oleaceae. The record is from RNAcentral.
CAUGCUCAUUCAUUUUAUGUAGAUACAACAGUAACAUCACCCGAAAAUACUUGGAGAUUGCAACUCCAAUUCGGUGGUCCUGACGGCUAUUGAAGACUCCGACAGAUCGCAACUACCUGAAUUCGUCAGUGACUCCAUUAUUUACUUAAACUUUAUACCGUUGCACUCCAUUAUUUUCAAGGUCAUCCCCAUCAUUAAUUACUGCACAAAUGGAGGACGGGUUUUACAGGUGGCAGUUAAAUGCCAUGUCAUUUUUCCCAAACACGAACGAAACACGCCUCGCCCAAAAAUCAAUUGAAGUUGUGAGAUGAAACCCUCGUGUCAAAUGAACGACCUCCAUCAGCCAUUGCAGAAACACCUCCCAAAUCUCAAAAUCCGAAAUUGCCUUGAUCCCCAACCCCCAAUUUGAAUUCGAUCCACAAUUUGGACCUCAAAGCGCGAUUGUUGAAACCGUAGACAUUGAUAGAGCACCUCAGUUUGCUGACACUUGGAUUGAAAUGUGUUCCAAUUUUCGAAGUACAUUUCAUUUUUCUUACAUGUUAUGACCUUUCCAAUGAGACAUUUCAGUUUGCUACCACUCGAAUUGACUGGAAGGAGACAUCAAAAAGCCUUGUGUUUAAGGCAGAUCUUCCGGGAUGAAGAAAGAAGUAAAGGUUGAAGUUGAGGAAGGUAACAUACUGCAGAUUAGAGGAGAAAGGGGCACAGAGAAAGAGGAGAAGAAUGAUAUGCGGCAUUGUAUGGAGGGAAUUUCGGCAGAAAGAGGAGAAACCUUCAUGAUUCUGAUCAAAGUGGCGGAUUUAAACAGACGUAAUGCUCCUAGAUUGUACAUCUGAUUUUAUGGACUAUGAUUGUACGUAUUUAUGGGAAUUUAGGUAGUUGUGUAAAUUUAUAAAAGCUCAAAAAGCUCUGUAGUAAAUUUAUGGGAAUUUUGAUGUAUGUCACUGCCCUUACUUUUAAAACAAUGUUAUAUGAUUGUUCAUGCUUUGCCAAUUAUGAAUUGAAGCUACAAAUAUGUUAUAGGAUUGUUCAUGCUUUGCCAAUUUGUGAAUUUAUUCGACCUAUGUAAUCGAUUAGAAGACUUAGUAUAUAAUUCUCAUGUUUAUGUAAUUUGAACUAGAGUUGAAGUUGAAUUGUGCUUAUGGGUUCUCUUUGUAAACUGCACUAGAGUUUAUCAAUUUUCUUUGAAUGUUUGUAUUAGUUUACUAUAUUGGUUAGAAAUUUCUAUGGUGAUGCUCUUUGAAUUCUGUUGUUUAAAAUGAUGUACUUUAUGUUAGUGUGAUAGAUAUCUUAUUCCUUGCUUGACUUCUCGAACUUGCCUUCAUAAACCGAAGUGUUAGCCCAAUGAAUGAAAGGUUGGCCUUGUGUUGGGACGGUAAGGAGACAUGUUAAGUUCUUGAUUUGUAGUGACAUGUGUUUAAUUGUGCUGGCUUACAUUCAUUUUCACCCUCAGGGAAAAUUGGGGCCGAAUAGAGGGACUGGAGUAUCAUUGUGCAACCGCAUGAUGGACAACAAAGCUUCCAUUUUGGGUGGCAAUGGAAUACAAGUGUUAUCAGUAGUGGGCCAUUAGCUUCUGCACCCAUGGAUGAAGGUAAUAACAGUGGACAUUCAUUCGAAGCACAAGUGACUACUGAACAAAUUGAUUAUGAAGGAAUAGAAGAGGACUUCGCACCUAUGAAUGUAGAAGAGGGUUCAAGUUCAAGACCAUCAAGGCCAUAUGCUAGAAGACUUGCAAGUAUAUCAGGGCAUUGAACAAUUUAUAUGAACG